This 783-nucleotide ribosomal RNA is filed under the name bacterium. RNAcentral describes it as "bacterial SSU rRNA". It matches the Rfam family "Bacterial small subunit ribosomal RNA", at positions 1 to 807 of the family's 1533-position model. The record is from RNAcentral.
UUGACGGAGAGUUUGAUCCUGGCUCAGGACGAACGCUGGCGGCGGGCCUAACACAUGCAAGUCGAACGAGAUGCCUUCGGGCAUCUAGUGGCGAACGGGUGAGUAACACGUGAGGAACCUGCCCCGAAGACGGGGAUAACCACGGGAAACUGUGGCUAAUACCCGAUGCCCCCGCUGCGGCGCAUGCCGCGGCGAGGAAAGGCUCCGGUGCUUCGGGAGGGUCUCGCGGCCUAUCAGCUAGUUGGUGAGGUAACGGCUCACCAAGGCUUCGACGGGUAGCUGGUCUGAGAGGACGAUCAGCCACACUGGGACUGAGACACGGCCCAGACUCCUGCGGGAGGCAGCAGUGGGGAAUCUUGCGCAAUGGGCGAAAGCCUGACGCAGCAACGCCGCGUGGGGGAUGAAGGCUCUCGGGUUGUAAACCCCUUUCAGCAGGGACGAAAUUGACGGUACCUGCAGAAGAAGCCCCGGCCAACUACGUGCCAGCAGCCGCGGUAACACGUAGGGAGCGAGCGUUGUCCGGAUUCAUUGGGCGUAAAGGGCUCGUAGGCGGUUUGGUAAGUCAGGUGUGAAAGCUCAGGGCUCAACUCUGAGACGCCAUCUGAUACUGCCAUGACUAGAGUUCGGUAGAGGAGCGUGGAAUUUCCGGUGUAGCGGUGAAAUGCUCAGAUAUCGGGAGGAACACCAGCAGCGAAGGCGGCGCUCUGGGCCGAAACUGACGCUGAGGAGCGAAAGCGUGGGGAGCAAACAGGAUUAGAUACCCUGGUAGUCCACGCCGUAAAC